GGGCCCGGCGGCCGCCCCGGCCCGGGGCGCGGGCACCCGCCUCCCCGCGGCUCAAGCCCCCGCUGCAGCCGCCGCAGCUGCAGCGGCCCGGCUCUCCGCUCUGCCCUUCCUUCCCAACACUCACUCUCCAAGUGACGUGGCAGGCCCCGCCCGCUGCCCCCCCCCACCCCACUCGCGCAUCACACCCCUCGCCCGGCCAGGGGCGCCCGCCCCGCCACGCGUCUUUCCCGCGCUCGCCCGGCACGCCCCGCCCUUGCCCGCGGUCACCCUCGCGGCCCCCCAACACGCGCCAGCGCCCUAACACCACACCCCGUCCACCCCUGCCAAAGGCUUUCCCUGUUUCAGUUUAAGGUGGUUGCUCUACGCAGUGCGUUUCAUCGAUGAGAAAACACCUCCCGCCCCACCAUGCAGCACAUAACUCGGAGCAGCGUACCUCCCUCCGCGCAUCCAGAAACCUAAAGAGCAAAUCGAAUCGUAUUUUGUCCCUCUGUAUUUACGAAGACUCAUUUGCCAGCUUCUCUAAUCCACUUUAAAGAAAAAAUAGAGAAAGCGUUUGUAGAAGUCUUCCGAGCUUCCAGUCAGCAUCCCAAGUGCUUGGUGGUUCAAGAAGCCUGGAAACAGCCCCUGGAAGGAGGACCUCAUUUCCUCCCAGACACAAUUUACAGAAGCCAGCCAGGCUCUGAAAACAGUGGGCGAAGGUGCCUGACGGGGUUGAGAGCAAGGAUUCCACCACUGUUCUCUUGGAGAUCUGGACCACCAGGACUCCUAGAGAUGAGGGGCCAAGCGAGGAUGUAAGAGGAGAGAGCACUGGAGAACCCUCACACACCAUUCGUGCCUCCUGAGCAGGUGGAAGCCGCUCCCUACCUCCGACCCACUGCCCCUCUCUGCACCUUCUUUCCUGAAAUGGUUGUGUUAUUUCCACCUGGGCCUGGGGCCAGGACGACAGUGAGGGGACCAGAGUCCAGAGAAAGAGAGGACCACCACGUGGAAGGUAGAGUGGGAGGGAGUGCAAGAGAGAGGAGGGAGAGAGGUGAUCAUGUUCUGGAGAGAACUCCGUUUCCUCUCCAUUCAUGCUUCCCAUUCAGAUGACCAAGGGACACGUGACUGCAGCAUUAACAAUGAUCUUACUUUUUCAUGGUGUUUUGCCCUCUUCAAAGGACAGUCACAUCAAGAGCCUUAAACACUAAAGUUGAAGUCAAGGAAUCUGACUUCUGGGACCAUGUAUGUGCUCACUGUUCAGGCUGUGUCGUGGUGCUUCCUGAGGCCUCAGUUUCCCCUCUUCCAUGCAAGGACUCUGGAUUCUAGGGUAAAUUACAAUCCUAAUUCUAUAACCUUCAGAUUCUGGAAACGUGCUCCUAAUCCUAGGUCUAUACUGUUUCAGAGGGUCUCUGCCCACUAACUGGUAGAAAGAACUACAUUCUCCCCAAGAGCAACAAUGGCAGCAAUACCCAGAUGGGUACUCUUUCAAUUCUGGUCCUCCACUGUCACCUCAGAUAUCGCCCACCAGGCCCUCCCACUGGGUGAGGAGCGGGCUUUAUGCACCCCUCCCAGCAGGCCUAGGACCAUUUUCGGGGGUGAUGCAGAGCAGGACUUAUGUUACCAGCUGCAGUAUCUACAGCCACAGAGGCAGAGAGAGAGAUGCAGACACUCAUCCCUCCAGGUGCCAUUUUCCCUCAGAUUCACAAGUGUUCCUGUACCAUUCUAUAUUGGGAAGUGCUCAUCUAAGAGAAAGAUGAAUGGCAGAAGCUGAAGGAUUUUAUACUAACAGCCAAAAUGCAGGGAGGUGAAAAUUACAGUAAAGGACAUUUCCAACUGAUUUGUCAUCUAAAAAUCCCAAAGUACUCUGUGUCCCCCAUUUAGUCCCAGAACCUAUUAAUCUGAAAAGCCCAAAUUAAUUAGUGCAGGCAUUUUCUAUUAUCCCAGGCAAUAGCAUGGUUAAGAAUCUGUGAGCCCUGAACUUCUCAAGCUGUAUUAACUGCAAAAUAAAUAGAAUUCUCCACUCAUUUCAGGGUGAAUUGAACAGUAUUUGUAUAUGGGGAGAAAACUAAAAGAAAGCUCCUUGUG
RNAcentral lists this long non-coding RNA (2064 nucleotides) under Canis lupus familiaris (dog). Its description in RNAcentral is "lncRNA (ENSCAFG00845030436.1)". The record is from RNAcentral. Lineage: Eukaryota; Metazoa; Chordata; Mammalia; Carnivora; Canidae.